CUACGGGGGGCACCAGGCGAGAAAACUUUGCAAUGUGCGAAAGCACGACAAGGUUAAUCCGAGUGGUUUCUGCUAAAGGAACCUUUUGUCGGUCCUAGAAACACCGAUGAAUAAGGGGUGGGCAAGUUCUGGUGUCAGCCGCCGCGGUAAAACCAGCACCUCAAGUUGUCAGGAUGAUUAUUGGGCCUAAAGCAUCCGUAGCCGGCUCUGUUAGUUUUCGGUUAAAUCUGUAUGCUCAACAUACAGGCUGCCGGGAAUACUACAGAGCUAGGGAGUGGGAGAGGUAGACGGUACUCGGUAGGAAGGGGUAAAAUCCUUUGAUCUAUUGAUGACCACCUGUGGCGAAGGCGGUCUACCAGAACACGUCCGACGGUGAGGGAUGAAAGCUGGGGGAGCAAACCGGAUUAGAUACCCCCGUAGUC
Molecule: ribosomal RNA, 422 nt
Filed under: uncultured archaeon
Lineage: Archaea
Description: partial 16S ribosomal RNA
Rfam family: Archaeal small subunit ribosomal RNA
Source: RNAcentral